Molecule: ribosomal RNA, 494 nt
Filed under: uncultured bacterium
Lineage: Bacteria
Description: partial 16S ribosomal RNA
Rfam family: Bacterial small subunit ribosomal RNA
Source: RNAcentral
GACGAACGCUGGCGGCGUGCCUAAUACAUGCAAGUCGAACGGUUUAGUUCCAAGAGGCAAGACUCUUGGAACUAAGCAGUGGCGGACGGGUGAGUAACACGUAGGCAACCUACCUGUCAAACCGGGAUAACCUCGGGAAACCGAAGCUAAACCCGGAUAAGCUCCUUUUUCGCAUGAAGGGGGAGUGAAAAGGUGCGACCUGAUGACAGAUGGGCCUGCGGCGCAUUAGCUAGUAGGUAGGGUAACGGCCUACCUAGGCGAUGAUGCGUAGCCGACCUGAGAGGGCGUACGGCCACACUGGGACUGAGAUACGGCUCAGACUCCUACGGGAGGCAGCAGUAGGGAAUCUUCGGCAAUGGGCGAAAGCCUGACCGAGCAACGCCGCGUGAGUGAGGAAGGCCUUCGGGUUGUAAAACUCUGUUGUUUGGGAAGAAGGGAAAGGGUAGGACCCUUAGGUGACGGUACCAAACGAGAAAGCCCCGGCUAACUACGUG